UACGUAGGGUGCAAGCGUUAAUCGGAAUACUGGGCGUAAAGCGUGCGCAGGCGGUUAUGUAAGACAGUUGUGAAAUCCCCGGGCUCAACCUGGGAACUGCAUCUGUGACUGCAUAGCUAGAGUACGGGUAGAGGGGGAUGGAAUUCCGCGUGUAGCAGUGAAAUGCGUAGAUAUGCGGAGGAACACCGAUGGCGAAGGCAAUCCCCUGGACCUGUACUGACGCUCAUGCACGAAA
Molecule: ribosomal RNA, 235 nt
Filed under: uncultured bacterium
Lineage: Bacteria
Description: partial 16S ribosomal RNA
Rfam family: Bacterial small subunit ribosomal RNA
Source: RNAcentral